This 793-nucleotide ribosomal RNA is filed under the name uncultured Chitinophagaceae bacterium. RNAcentral describes it as "bacterial SSU rRNA". It matches the Rfam family "Bacterial small subunit ribosomal RNA", at positions 8 to 796 of the family's 1533-position model. Lineage: Bacteria; Pseudomonadati; Bacteroidota; Chitinophagia; Chitinophagales; Chitinophagaceae. The record is from RNAcentral.
AGAGUUUGAUCCUGGCUCAGGAUGAACGCUAGCGGCAGGCUUAAUACAUGCAAGUCGAGGGGCAGCAGGGGUAGCAAUACCCGCUGGCGACCGGCAAACGGGUGCGGAACACGUACGCAAUCUACCCAAAACUGAUGAAUAGCCCUCCGAAAGGAGGAUUAAUACAUCGUAACAUUAUAGAGUGGCAUCACUUUAUGAUUAUAGCUCCGGCGGUUUUGGAUGAGCGUGCGGCUGAUUAGGUAGUUGGCAGGGUAACGGCCUACCAAGCCUACGAUCAGUAACUGGUGUGAGAGCACGACCAGUCACACGGGCACUGAGACACGGGCCCGACUCCUACGGGAGGCAGCAGUAAGGAAUAUUGGUCAAUGGACGCAAGUCUGAACCAGCCAUGCCGCGUGAAGGAUGAAGGUCCUCUGGAUUGUAAACUUCUUUUAUAGGGGAAGAAACCCGGAAAUUCUUUUCCGGUUGACGGUACCCUGGGAAUAAGCACCGGCUAACUCCGUGCCAGCAGCCGCGGUAAUACGGAGGGUGCAAGCGUUAUCCGGAUUCACUGGGUUUAAAGGGUGCGUAGGUGGGUCUGUAAGUCAGUGGUGAAAUCUCCAAGCUUAACUUGGAAACUGCCGUUGAUACUAUAGAUCUUGAAUGCUGUGGAGGUGAGCGGAAUAUGUCAUGUAGCGGUGAAAUGCUUAGAUAUGACAUAGAACACCAAUUGCGAAGGCAGCUCACUACCCAGAUAUUGACACUGAGGCACGAAAGCGUGGGGAUCAAACAGGAUUAGAUACCCCGGUAGUCC